GCCGCGGUGGCCGAGCCAGGUCAAAGGCGCCAGACUCGAGAUCUGGUCCCCUUCUGGGGUCGCAGGUUCAAAAAGGCUUAGGCCUUUGGAAAUCCUGCCCGCGGCGCCA
This 109-nucleotide transfer RNA is filed under the name archaeon. Its description in RNAcentral is "tRNA-Ser". It matches the Rfam family "tRNA". From Rfam's summary of the family: Transfer RNA (tRNA) molecules are approximately 80 nucleotides in length. Their secondary structure includes four short double-helical elements and three loops (D, anti-codon, and T loops). The record is from RNAcentral. RNAcentral also lists the same sequence under 3 other names.